This is a long non-coding RNA of Cryptotermes secundus, 498 nucleotides long. RefSeq lists it as uncharacterized. Lineage: Eukaryota; Metazoa; Arthropoda; Insecta; Blattodea; Kalotermitidae. The record is from RefSeq and is a predicted model, not a curated record. The transcript is spliced from 3 exons.
GUAGCGAUCUCUGCUCGACACGGAGCGGACUACUAGCUCUAUCCCGGACAAUACAGUGCGAGCGAGUGUACAGGAGCCAGCAAGUUCGUCAUCUGUCGUGACAUCGUGCCUACAUCCUGGGUUCCAGCAAUCUCCGGGACUUUACACUCACUCAGGAGCUGUGCCUGGAGUGUCUCCCUCGGUAGAGCGUGUUUUCUUACAAGAGAAUUCGGAAACGUUUCCGUUCUUACUCCGGCAGUUCCAUCGAAAUAUAUUGAUUCGUAACGGGCGGAAAAUCACAUAGGAUGGCGAAAAUAUAAUUGCAUAUGAAAGAGUUCUGAAUUUGACAACUCAAAUAUCGUCCCUGCAUUAGUCAUCAAUUUUGCUGAGUUAUAAAUGCGUUAUACAAAAAAGCAGAGAUUAUGGACUACUAUCGAAAGAUCUCAGAAAGUCAUCAAAAUCAAGUCUGUAUUUAAAAAUAUUCUUUUACGCCAUGUCGUAUGAAAGAUAUUACACUAU